GAUAGGGCCUCGCUGCCUUGCCCGUCUGGCGCCAUAUUCACCCAUGUCUUUUUGCGUACUACUUGUUUCCUUGGCGGGUCCGCCCGCCAAUUGGACCUUAUUCAAACCUUUUUUUCAGUUGCAAUCAGCGUCAGCAAAGGUCGCGCGUCCAUGAAGCUUCUUUCAACCUUUUGACACGCAGCGAAAUGCGAUAAGUAGUGUGAAUUGCAGAAUUCAGUGAAUCAUCGAAUCUUUGAACGCACAUUGCGCCCUUUGGUAUUCCAAAGGGCAUGCCUGUUCNAGCGUCAUUUGUACCCUCAAGCUUUGCUUGGUGUUGGGCGUCUUGUCUCUCUCCCGAGACUCGCCUUAAAAUCAUUGGCAGCCGGCCUACUGGUUUCGGAGCGCAGCACAUUAUUUGCGCUCUUGUCCAGCCGCACAAAUGUAAUCAAUUACAACUUUCAACAACGGAUCUCUUGGUUCUGGCAUCGAUGAAGA
RNAcentral lists this ribosomal RNA (474 nucleotides) under Pyrenophora tritici-repentis. RNAcentral's name for it is "eukaryotic LSU rRNA". The stretch from base 172 to 287 matches the Rfam family "5.8S ribosomal RNA", at positions 37 to 154 of the family's 154-position model. The record is from RNAcentral. Lineage: Eukaryota; Fungi; Ascomycota; Dothideomycetes; Pleosporales; Pleosporaceae.